This 274-nucleotide ribosomal RNA is filed under the name uncultured bacterium. RNAcentral describes it as "partial 16S ribosomal RNA". It matches the Rfam family "Bacterial small subunit ribosomal RNA", at positions 523 to 796 of the family's 1533-position model. The record is from RNAcentral.
CUACGGAGGGUGCGAGCGUUAAUCGGAAUUACUGGGCGUAAAGCGCGCGUAGGCGGAUAAUUAAGUCAGAUGUGAAAUCCCCGGGCUCAACCUGGGAACUGCAUUUGAUACUGAUUAACUAGAGUAUGGUAGAGGUGAGUGGAAUUUCCGGUGUAGCGGUGAAAUGCGUAGAGAUCGGAAGGAACACCAGUGGCGAAGGCGACUCACUGGGCCAUUACUGACGCUGAGGUGCGAAAGCGUGGGUAGCAAACAGGAUUAGAAACCCUAGUAGUCC